This 384-nucleotide RNase P RNA is filed under the name Porphyromonas gingivicanis. RNAcentral describes it as "Bacterial RNase P class A". It matches the Rfam family "Bacterial RNase P class A". Rfam says of the family: Ribonuclease P (RNase P) is a ubiquitous endoribonuclease, found in archaea, bacteria and eukarya as well as chloroplasts and mitochondria. Its best characterised activity is the generation of mature 5'-ends of tRNAs by cleaving the 5'-leader elements of precursor-tRNAs. Lineage: Bacteria; Pseudomonadati; Bacteroidota; Bacteroidia; Bacteroidales; Porphyromonadaceae. The record is from Rfam by way of RNAcentral.
AUAGCAAAUCGGCUUGUCGCUGGUCACUCUUCUUAGAAAGAGUGAAAAGAGGAAAGUCCGGGCAACGUAGAGCACCAUACUUCCUAACGGGAAGUCUUUUGUCUUUGAGAAAUUGAGGACAGGAGGAGUAGUGUAACAGAGAAUAACCGCCCUGUUUGUACAGGGUAAGGGUGAAAAGGUGAGGUAAGAGCUCACCGGAAAGGGUAGUGAUACUCUUUGCCGUACAUCUUAUGGGUUGUAAGAUCAAGUAUACCGAUGUUUAUGAGGGUUGCUCGUCCUCUAUCGGGGGGUAGAUCGCUUGAGCUAUGCGGUGACGUAUAGUUUAGAUUAAUGACAAGCGCCGCUCAUGCGGUACAGAACCCGGCUUAUAGAUUUGCUGUACUU